AGGGAUGUAGUGCAGUUUGGUAGCGCGUUUGUUUGGGGUGAAAAAUGUCAUGUGGUCAAAUCCUGUCGUCCCUA
This 74-nucleotide transfer RNA is filed under the name Triticum aestivum (bread wheat). It matches the Rfam family "tRNA". Rfam says of the family: Transfer RNA (tRNA) molecules are approximately 80 nucleotides in length. Their secondary structure includes four short double-helical elements and three loops (D, anti-codon, and T loops). The record is from Rfam by way of RNAcentral. RNAcentral also lists the same sequence under 1 other name. Lineage: Eukaryota; Viridiplantae; Streptophyta; Magnoliopsida; Poales; Poaceae.